GAGCCUGAGAAACGGCUACCACAUCCAAGGAUGGCAGCAGGCGCGCAAAUUACCCAAUCCCGACACGGGGAGGUAGUGACAAUAAAUAACAAUACGGGGUUCUUUCGGAUCUCGUAAUUGUAAUGAGUACAAUUUAAAUCUCUUAACGAGGAACAAUUGGAGGGCAAGUCUGGUGCCAGCAGCCGCGGUAAUUCCAGCUCCAAUAGCGUAUAUUAAAGUUGUUGCAGUUAAAAAGCUCGUAGUUGAAUUUCGGGGUUAGUAGGUUGGUCAUGCCUCUGGUAUGUACUGGUCUCACUGAUUCCUCCUUCCUUAUGAACCGUAAUGCCAUUAAUUUGGUGUUGCGGGGAAUUUGGACUGUUACUUUGAAAAAAUUAGAGUGUUUAAAGCAGGCUAACGCUUGAAUACAUUAGCAUGGAAUAAUGAAAUAGGACGUUCGAUCUUAUUUUGUUGGUUUCUAGGAUUGACGUAAUGAUUAAUAGGGAUAGUUGGGGGCAUUAGUAUUCAAUUGUCAGAGGUGAAAUUCUUGGAUUUAUUGAAGACUAACUACUGCGAAAGCAUUUGCCAAGGAUGUUUUCAUUAAUCAAGAACGAAAGUUAGGGGAUCGAAGACGAUCAGAUACCGUCGUAGUCUUAACCAUAAACUAUGCCGACUAGGGAUCGGAUGAUGUUAAUUUUUUAAUGACUCAUUCGGCGCCUUACGGGA
Molecule: ribosomal RNA, 702 nt
Filed under: uncultured fungus
Lineage: Eukaryota; Fungi
Description: SSU rRNA
Rfam family: Eukaryotic small subunit ribosomal RNA
Source: RNAcentral